GGAGUCCGUUGUGUUUUGACGAUGAGAAAGGCUUGGCCUUAUCUGUCCGAAGUGGGGAAGAAGUCAGCAUUAGCAGAAGACUCAGGUGACCUACUCCGGAGAGACCGCACUGGGGCCUGGCGCUCAGCAAGAAGCAGGUUCGUACCCCCCAACCCCAACUCUGAAAGCCAGCUCCUCACCAUCGGGGACCUGUCCUGUUCACAGUUUACUCAGAAUCGAGCCUGGAACAUCGGGGGAACGAGAUGGGACAUGUGUUGAAUGAAGAAGGACGCUAAAACCAAGGAGAAACGGGAUCAGGCAGCGGUGGCUGGGGCUGGAGCAGGUUACGACCCCAAAAUAACCACCCAGGACAACCGGCCUCGCUCAGAGUCUACACUACACUCUGCCUGUCAUGACCUGUAGACCCCUGAUCGAUAGACACAAUUACGAUGAAAGGUCACUCAAGUCAAUGGCCGUGCUUCUUG
Ailuropoda melanoleuca (giant panda) is the source of this 464-nucleotide long non-coding RNA. RefSeq lists it as uncharacterized. The record is from RefSeq and is a predicted model, not a curated record. Lineage: Eukaryota; Metazoa; Chordata; Mammalia; Carnivora; Ursidae. The transcript has 3 exons.